Pipistrellus kuhlii (Kuhl's pipistrelle) is the source of this 141-nucleotide long non-coding RNA. RefSeq lists it as uncharacterized. The record is from RefSeq and is a predicted model, not a curated record. NCBI's taxonomy places the organism in Eukaryota, Metazoa, Chordata, Mammalia, Chiroptera, Vespertilionidae. The transcript is spliced from 3 exons.
UAUUCCACAAACCAAAUAACAUUGGGAUGCCCAGCCAGUGUAGUUCAGUGGCUGACCAUUGAGCCAGGAACUAAGAGGCUACCGGUUCAAUUCCCAAUCAGGGCACAUGCCUGGGUUGUGGGCUCACUCCCAUGUGGGGAG